Molecule: long non-coding RNA, 1359 nt
Organism: Brienomyrus brachyistius
Lineage: Eukaryota; Metazoa; Chordata; Actinopteri; Osteoglossiformes; Mormyridae
Exons: 4
Source: RefSeq, a predicted model, not a curated record
GAAAUUAAAUGUACUUCUACUCAAAUAAUUAAAUAUCAACAUUACGGAAGCACCAUUCAACGUUUGGGGGCUUGAGUGGCGUUUCGUCAGAGAUGUUUCGCCUGCCUGAGUAGAAACGUUUCCGAAGUGGAAGGCCUGCCCUUGGGUAUAUACAGCGGCCGGACAUCUUCAGAAGCUCGCGAAAUAGAAUUCCCGACUUCCUGCAUGGAGAAUUAGGAGUGCCGAGGCGCACCAUGCAAAUUCCCCCUUUAGCUCUCUUGCAACGACAGCUGGAGUUUGCAGUCAGGGCUGUGCGUCCGCCGCAUAUAUCAUCCAGAACAUUCACAUUCCCUGACAGCUCAUCCCGGAGAAUAAUAUCUGCCCAGGAAUCUGAAAACCAGUUGGUCUCACAUAUACCUUAUUAACUGCGGUUAGGGUGUUUGUAAGCCAUGUUACUCAUAUGUGAAUCGACUUACGCAGAGUAAUUCAAGCCGUUCAAACAGUUAAAAAAAACUUGUUACGUUGCAGUCACUCAUUAAGUAAACAGUAGCGUGUUUUACCAUAUUUUGGAGUUUGAGGUUAAAUUCGAGGUUAAGCUGUAUUUUAUCUCUGCCAUUAUUCAAUAUAGGAAUUGGGAUUAUUAUUAGGUUGAUUCGGGUGGCACUGCUCACACUUGCAGAAUCGGGGGUUUGCGUCCCUGCGCCGCCCUGUGUGUCUGGAACCAGUGUGUGUGAGUGUCCUCCCACAGUCCAAAGGACAUGCUGUUCGUUAAAAUAGUUUUUGUGAAUUUCCCAUAGUUUGUGAACGUGUGUCUGCGCACGCUCUCCGCAAUCAACUAGAAUCCCAGUUAGAAGAUGUACAUUUAUUAUUAUUUAGUGUUGUUGUUAAUAUGUUUAUGUUUUCUUGAAGUAACACAACCAGUUUGAUUUUUGUUUCAUGUUUACAUCUAGGGAUAUGAAUGAUUUAUUAUUUGUUAUUGAAUUAGAAUUAUUAAUUAUUGAUCAGUUUAGCUUUCACAUCGCUCAAGGCAGGGAACUCGUGAAGGAGAGGUAUUGAGAUGCCUGGACUCAAUGUUUCUUAAUGACUUCAGUGUGUGUUUCCCUCCACCUGAACUCCUAAUGAACCCGUUAAACCAAAUAUUGGCCUCAUUACCCGGGUGGAAACCCCGUCUCCAAUUACUGUUGAUUACGGAGGGGGUCAAUAAAAGCAGAAUUGUUGAAUGUCUGGUAUUGGGGGGGCUGGUGAUAGUGCAGGAGCUGUUUCACACAUACUGGAACAUUUGCUAGAUGGAAGGCUGGAACGACCACUCCAGAAUGGUUAAGUGGGAUUUACACAAAUGAUACAUUGGUAACAAAAAAAUCAAAUUAUAUGUAAUUUCUA